Transfer RNA from Danaus plexippus plexippus, 73 nucleotides. It matches the Rfam family "tRNA". From Rfam's summary of the family: Transfer RNA (tRNA) molecules are approximately 80 nucleotides in length. Their secondary structure includes four short double-helical elements and three loops (D, anti-codon, and T loops). Lineage: Eukaryota; Metazoa; Arthropoda; Insecta; Lepidoptera; Nymphalidae. The record is from Rfam.
GUUUCCAUGGUGCAGCGGUUAUCACAUCUGCCUAACAAGCAAAAAGUCCCCGGUUCGAUCCCGGGCGAUAACA